Molecule: ribosomal RNA, 253 nt
Filed under: uncultured bacterium
Lineage: Bacteria
Description: partial 16S ribosomal RNA
Rfam family: Bacterial small subunit ribosomal RNA
Source: RNAcentral
UACAGAGGGUGCGAGCGUUAAUCGGAAUUACUGGGCGUAAAGCGCGCGUAGGCGGCUCUGCAAGUCGGGUGUGAAAUCCCCAGGCUUAACCUGGGAACUGCAUUCGAGACUGCAUUGCUAGAGUAUGGGAGAGGGAAGUGGAAUUUCCGGUGUAGCGGUGAAAUGCGUAGAUAUCGGAAGGAACAUCAGUGGCGAAAGCGACUUCCUGGACCAAUACUGACGCUCAUGUGCGAAAGCGUGGGGAGCAAACAGG